GAUGAACGCUGGCGGCGUGCCUAAUACAUGCAAGUAGAACGCUGAAGAGAGGAGCUUGCUCUUCUUGGAUGAGUUGCGAACGGGUGAGUAACGCGUAGGUAACCUGCCUUGUAGCGGGGGAUAACUAUUGGAAACGAUAGCUAAUACCGCAUAACAAUGGAUGACACAUGUCAUUUAUUUGAAAGGGGCAAUUGCUCCACUACAAGAUGGACCUGCGUUGUAUUAGCUAGUAGGUGAGGUAAUGGCUCACCUAGGCGACGAUACAUAGCCGACCUGAGAGGGUGAUCGGCCACACUGGGACUGAGACACGGCCCAGACUCCUACGGGAGGCAGCAGUAGGGAAUCUUCGGCAAUGGGGGCAACCCUGACCGAGCAACGCCGCGUGAGUGAAGAAGGUUUUCGGAUCGUAAAGCUCUGUUGUAAGUCAAGAACGGGUGUGAGAGUGGAAAGUUCACACUGUGACGGUAGCUUACCAGAAAGGGACGGCUAACUACGU
RNAcentral lists this ribosomal RNA (496 nucleotides) under uncultured bacterium. Its description in RNAcentral is "partial 16S ribosomal RNA". It matches the Rfam family "Bacterial small subunit ribosomal RNA", at positions 28 to 506 of the family's 1533-position model. The record is from RNAcentral.